This 212-nucleotide ribosomal RNA is filed under the name uncultured bacterium. RNAcentral's name for it is "partial 16S ribosomal RNA". It matches the Rfam family "Bacterial small subunit ribosomal RNA", at positions 137 to 334 of the family's 1533-position model. The record is from RNAcentral.
CGGGGGAUAACCAUGAGAAAUUAUGGCUAAUACCGCAUACGUACUGCAAUUUUGGAAGUAGCAGUAGAAAGGAUGCCUCUCCUUGGAAGCAUUCACUAAGAGAUGGGCCUGCGUAGCAUUAGCUUGUUGGUGGGGUAAUGGCCUACCAAGGCAACGAUGCUUAGCUGGUCUGAGAGGAUGAUCAGCCACACUGGAACUGAGACACGGUCCAG